This 595-nucleotide ribosomal RNA is filed under the name uncultured Bacteroidota bacterium. RNAcentral describes it as "bacterial SSU rRNA". It matches the Rfam family "Bacterial small subunit ribosomal RNA", at positions 122 to 715 of the family's 1533-position model. The record is from RNAcentral. Lineage: Bacteria; Pseudomonadati; Bacteroidota.
CAACCUGCCGUCUACUCUUGGACAGCCUUCUGAAAGGAAGAUUAAUACAAGAUGGCAUCAUGAGUCCGCAUGUUCACAUGAUUAAAGGUAUUCCGGUAGACGAUGGGGAUGCGUUCCAUUAGAUAGUAGGCGGGGUAACGGCCCACCUAGUCUUCGAUGGAUAGGGGUUCUGAGAGGAAGGUCCCCCACAUUGGAACUGAGACACGGUCCAAACUCCUACGGGAGGCAGCAGUGAGGAAUAUUGGUCAAUGGGCGAGAGCCUGAACCAGCCAAGUAGCGUGAAGGAUGACUGCCCUAUGGGUUGUAAACUUCUUUUAUAAAGGAAUAAAGUCGGGUAUGGAUACCCGUUUGCAUGUACUUUAUGAAUAAGGAUCGGCUAACUCCGUGCCAGCAGCCGCGGUAAUACGGAGGAUCCGAGCGUUAUCCGGAUUUAUUGGGUUUAAAGGGAGCGUAGAUGGAUGUUUAAGUCAGUUGUGAAAGUUUGCGGCUCAACCGUAAAAUUGCAGUUGAUACUGGAUAUCUUGAGUGCAGUUGAGGCAGGCGGAAUUCGUGGUGUAGCGGUGAAACGCUUAGAUAUCACGAAGAACUCCGAUUG